CAGUAGCCGCGGGAAAACAGAGGGUGCAAGCGUUAAUCGGAAUUACUGGGCGUAAAGCGCGCGUAGGUGGUUUGUUAAGUUGGAUGUGAAAUCCCCGGGCUCAACCUGGGAACUGCAUCCAAAACUGGCAAGCUAGAGUAUGGUAGAGGGUGGUGGAAUUUCCUGUGUAGCGGUGAAAUGCGUAGAUAUAGGAAGGAACACCAGUGGCGAAGGCGACCACCUGGACUGAUACUGACGCUGAGGUACGAAAGCAUGGGGAGCAAACAGGAUUAGAUACCUGUGUAGUCCCUGUCUCUUAUAC
RNAcentral lists this ribosomal RNA (301 nucleotides) under uncultured bacterium. Its description in RNAcentral is "partial 16S ribosomal RNA". It matches the Rfam family "Bacterial small subunit ribosomal RNA", at positions 509 to 807 of the family's 1533-position model. The record is from RNAcentral.